RNAcentral lists this ribosomal RNA (277 nucleotides) under uncultured bacterium. Its description in RNAcentral is "partial 16S ribosomal RNA". It matches the Rfam family "Bacterial small subunit ribosomal RNA", at positions 28 to 309 of the family's 1533-position model. The record is from RNAcentral.
GAUAAACGCUGGCGGCGUGCCUAACACAUGCAAGUCGAACGCUCUCUUGCCGCAAGGGAAGAGGGAGUGGCGGACGGGUGAGUAACACAUGGGAAUCGACCCAUUCGUGAGGAAUACCACCGGGAAACCGGUGACAAUACCGCAUACGCUCAGUGAUGAGCAAAGCUUCUUCGCAAGAGGAGGCGCGAGUGGACGAGCCUGUGCCUGAUUAGCUAGCUGGUGGGGUAAGAGCCUACCAGGGCAACGAUCAGUCGCUGGUCUGAGAGGAUGAUCAGCC